RNAcentral lists this ribosomal RNA (452 nucleotides) under uncultured Bifidobacterium sp. Its description in RNAcentral is "bacterial SSU rRNA". It matches the Rfam family "Bacterial small subunit ribosomal RNA", at positions 173 to 640 of the family's 1533-position model. Lineage: Bacteria; Bacillati; Actinomycetota; Actinomycetes; Bifidobacteriales; Bifidobacteriaceae. The record is from RNAcentral.
UUCCACAUGAUCGCAUGUGAUUGUGGGAAAGAUUCUAUCGGCGUGGGAUGGGGUCGCGUCCUAUCAGCUUGUUGGUGAGGUAACGGCUCACCAAGGCUUCGACGGGUAGCCGGCCUGAGAGGGCGACCGGCCACAUUGGGACUGAGAUACGGCCCAGACUCCUACGGGAGGCAGCAGUGGGGAAUAAUGCACAAUGGGCGCAAGCCUGAUGCAGCGACGCCGCGUGAGGGAUGGAGGCCUUCGGGUUGUAAACCUCUUUUGUUUGGGAGCAAGCCUUCGGGUGAGUGUACCUUUCGAAUAAGCGCCGGCUAACUACGUGCCAGCAGCCGCGGUAAUACGUAGGGCGCAAGCGUUAUCCGGAUUUAUUGGGCGUAAAGGGCUCGUAGGCGGCUCGUCGCGUCCGGUGUGAAAGUCCAUCGCUUAACGGUGGAUCUGCGCCGGGUACGGGCGGG